AUACGGAGGAUGCAAGCGUUAUCCGGAAUGAUUGGGCGUAAAGGGUCCGCAGGUGGAACUGAAAGUCUGCUGUUAAAGAAUCUGGCUCAACCAGAUAAAAGCAGUGGAAACUACAGAACUAGAGUAUGGUAGGGGUAGAAGGAAUUCCUAGUGUAGCGGUGAAAUGCGUAGAUAUUAGGAAGAACACCGGUGGCGAAAGCGUUCUACUAGACCAAGACUGACACUGAGGGACGAAAGCUAGGGGAGCGAAUGGGAUUAGAUACCCCAGUAGUCCUAGCCGUAAACGAUGGAUACUAGGCGUGGCUUGUAUCGACCCGAGCCGUGCCGGAGCCAACGCGUUAAGUAUCCCGCCUGGGGAGUACGCACGCAAGUGUGAA
Molecule: ribosomal RNA, 377 nt
Filed under: uncultured bacterium
Lineage: Bacteria
Description: bacterial SSU rRNA
Rfam family: Bacterial small subunit ribosomal RNA
Source: RNAcentral